ACAACAUUCGGACCGUCGGUCUACCGAGCAAUGUCACGCGCUCGGUGGAAAGCCUUACCUUUUUCGU
Molecule: non-coding RNA, 67 nt
Organism: Bombyx mori (domestic silkworm)
Lineage: Eukaryota; Metazoa; Arthropoda; Insecta; Lepidoptera; Bombycidae
Source: Rfam